AUUGAACGCUGGCGGCAUGCCUUACACAUGCAAGUCGAACGGCAGCACGGGUGCUUGCCCCUGGUGGCGAGUGGCGAACGGGUGAGUAAUACAUCGGAACAUGUCCUGUAGUGGGGGAUAGCCCGGCGAAAGCCGGAUUAAUACCGCAUACGAUCUACGGAUGAAAGCGGGGGACCUUCGGGCCUCGCGCUAUAGGGUUGGCCGAUGGCUGAUUAGCUAGUUGGUGGGGUAAAGGCCUACCAAGGCGACGAUCAGUAGCUGGUCUGAGAGGACGACCAGCCACAGUGGGACUGAGACACGGCCCAGACUCCUACGGGAGGCAGCAGUGGGGAAUUUUGGACAAUGGGCGAAAGCCUGAUCCAGCAAUGCCGCGUGUGUGAAGAAGGCCUUCGGGUUGUAAAGCACUUUUGUCCGGAAAGAAAUCCUUGGCCCUAAUACGGUCGGGGGAUGACGGUACCGGAAGAAUAAGCACCGGCUAACUACGU
This 485-nucleotide ribosomal RNA is filed under the name uncultured bacterium. RNAcentral's name for it is "partial 16S ribosomal RNA". It matches the Rfam family "Bacterial small subunit ribosomal RNA", at positions 30 to 506 of the family's 1533-position model. The record is from RNAcentral.